AGUAGAUUGGUCAGCGGUUAAACCAAAAGCCAGGUUACAUGAAGUCCCCAUAGCAACGAUGUUUAAAGUUCCUCAAAUUCCAAAACAGUGACUAUAGCUCCGGGCUGACUUUUGGCGAUUUGUGGAAAAUUAAUUAAUCGCGACACUUUAAAUCAAACAACGCAAGUUUAAAAACAUUGGCGGAUGGUAUCAUGAUUCCUCUAGAAAGUACAACAGCUAUUUUGCCCAGGAUGCCAACAGGACGGACAAUAUCUGGCGAUUUCCCCUUGACAAUCAUCAAACCUCCAAUUGUUGAUGUCAGAUGUAGAGCAAGUCCAUCGGCAAUUUCCAGUCCUAUCAUCCGUCUUUUGCGAAGUAGAAAUCAAAGAAGGAAUAGCUCAGCAUCGUCUGUACGUAGUAACUGCAGUAGAAGGACCGAAUACGAGGAGUUCUUGCCGGAGAGAGUUGAGGUUGUUGAAGUAGAAAAUGGUGCACCGCAAAAUAUGCAAAUCAAGUCAGUAUUCCGCGCGCAUAAACAAAGUUGUUGCACUUCGCCUGAUAAUAUUUGCAACUGUCACGCGAUUUCUUCCAGGCGAGGUAGUUUAAUUUCAUCUGCUACAGAACGCCGUAUAAACUCACAGGACGAACCAUUUGGUGAUAGUAAAAUCAAUCAGGAUGAAAAAGAACUACUGCCAUUAAGAACAUCAGCUGUAAAAAUCAAAGAAAAUGAAGACAAUCAUGAAAAGCAAAUCAAAGACAAUGAAAACUUUCAACUGAUAGAAAGGAAACUAAAUAACAGUGAUCCUGUGGUAGAUGAGAAAAACAAUGAUACUUGUGACUUUGCUGUAGUGGAGAAUAUUAAACAAGAUGAUAAUGCUGUUGAGAUGGAAAUCAAACAGAAUGAGGAGAGUGUAUGUGAAAAGACAAACAAAAGAAGUAGAAAAAAGUGGAGCAAAUCAAAAUCACCCAGGAAAAGAAAGAACUCAUUAAAAAAAGGUUCAGGAGGGUUUGGAUUAUUUACCAGACUUGCCAACCCAAAUAAACAAAAGAAGCACCCAGGUCUUCAAUUAAAUUCCAGAGAAGAAACAACGAGGACAAAUUCUCACCAAUCAAAAGACAAUUCCACAAAAUACUUAAGCAUACAAAAACUUCAUGCAACUUAUGCACCAAAGAAAGGCAACAAGAGUAAUUCUAGUGAAAAGAACACUGGUGACAGAAUCCUUUUGCCUAAAGUACCCAACACCAAUUUACCUAAUACAUCAAGUUCAAGCAUGCUUUCUCCAAGGAAACAACAACAAGAAUUGGAAAAUACCUCUUUAUUUUCUCCUAUGUCAUCACCACGGAAAUUAUGGAACUCUGAAGAUAAUAGAGUGAAGAAGAUCUACUUAUCUGAAGCACACUCAGGAAUGAUAACAGGAGUACCAUGUGCUCCACCAUGCACACCUUCAGCUGGCGAGUAUUAAAUAAUAUUUAGUAUCAUAAUUCUACUAAACAGUGUACUAUCAAAAGUUCUCUAAUCUGAUUGGCUACUCCUUAUCUUUUAACAUAUGCAUUCCAAUUUUCAGUGCUUCUCCUCAGUAACAGUUAAUAUCAAAUGUGGCAAGAAUGGAAAAGUGGCAUCUAUGGCACAGCUGAUUAUGAGUGUAUUACUACUUGUUCUGACUGCAUGCGAAUUAUAUACACAUGACUCCAAUUCUAUAAUUUAAUCCAAACUAAAGCAAAUGAAUGAUAGUACAAUAGCAUGAGGAUUAAACUAAAAACAAAUCUUAAUUUUUGCAACUAAUUGAUCUGACAUUCAACCGGUCACUCAAUCAGUUAUUUAACCAUUCAAUUGGUUACCAAAUAAUCAAGUGAAUUUAGCUGGGUGCUGAUUUUUAAAACAAAAGUGUAAGUACCAAUGUCUGUAUUUACUCAGUUAAGCACCCCAUGCCCUUAUUAAUUCUUGGAUCUUGAGAGUGUGGGCUUAUUUGACCCUUGACACUUAUUUACACCCACAGGAUGGACAUUUGAUUGAGGUUGGGCACUUAAUUAAUUUAAAAAUGGUGGUUGAAUCUUUUAUAAUCUAUUAGCAUCUGUUGUCUUGUUGUGUUUUAGAUGAACUAAAGAAAGUGGAAUAUAUUCCUUCACUGUCAGAUGUAAAGAGUCAAAGAGUAGUUAAAACAAGACUGAUAACAAUAGGAAAUAAACUGAGAGCUGAAGAACAAAAAAG
Pocillopora verrucosa is the source of this 2188-nucleotide non-coding RNA. The record is from RefSeq and is a predicted model, not a curated record. NCBI's taxonomy places the organism in Eukaryota, Metazoa, Cnidaria, Anthozoa, Scleractinia, Pocilloporidae.